AUGAUACCCCCUGUGAGAACUCUUUGAGAACUCUUUGAUGACGACUCUAUCCCAAAUUCGUGAUACCCUUUACAAUUAAUUUAUUAUCUUCUCUACCUCUCAAGCUGAUACAUAGAGUAAGAGAACUAAGAUCGAGCAGUGAGACCGUGUAG
RNAcentral lists this unclassified non-coding RNA (152 nucleotides) under Yarrowia lipolytica. The record is from RNAcentral. Lineage: Eukaryota; Fungi; Ascomycota; Dipodascomycetes; Dipodascales.